This 429-nucleotide ribosomal RNA is filed under the name uncultured bacterium. Its description in RNAcentral is "bacterial SSU rRNA". It matches the Rfam family "Bacterial small subunit ribosomal RNA", at positions 355 to 776 of the family's 1533-position model. The record is from RNAcentral.
CUAAGAAUAUUCCGCAAUGGACGAAAGUCUGACGGAGCGACGCCGCGUGGAUGAAGAAGGCCGAAAGGUUGUAAAAUCCUUUUGUUGGGGAAGAAUAACCAUGGGAGGGAAUGCCCGUGGGAUGACAUGAACCGACGAAUAAGUCCCGGCUAACUACGUGCCAGCAGCCGCGGUAACACGUAGGGGACAAGCGUUAUUCGGAAUUACUGGGCGUAAAGGGCAUGUAGGCGGCCUUGUAAGCCUGGCGUGAAAGUCACCGGCUCAACCGGUGGAUUGCGUCGGGAACUGCAGGGCUUGAAUCACGGAGAGGGAGCUAGAAUUCCUGGUGUAGGGGUGAAAUCUGUAGAGAUCAGGAAGAAUACCAACGGCGAAGGCAAGCUCCUGGCCGAUGAUUGACGCUGAGGUGCGAAAGUGUGGGGAUCAAACAGG